GGGUUUGGGUUUGGGGAGGACAGGCUGGGGGGAGGCUGAGGCUGGGGCUGGGGGUACGUGGAGCUUGGCAGCAGAGUUGUGUGCGCAGGAGGGACUGGGCUGGAGCAAGGAAUGGGCACAUCUGCACAACAGGGUGGAAACAGGAGACAAAAAUAGUUGUUGUAGACUCCUCAGUGGUGAAAAAAGAGCUCAGCACACUGGUCUGAUUGAAACAUGGUGGGGGUGAUGGGAAUCAAUAACAGUACCUGCAAUUGUAGCAGGUGUGUUAGGUCAUAAAGCAGGAAGACUACAUCUAAAGGUUGCUGUAAAAUCUGAGGAAAUUGGGGUACUGACAACCAAACAGCCACAUUUAUGCUGGAUAUAAAUUCUGUAUUUUAAUGACAUGGGGGUAUUAGGAAGUUUUCUAUUCCAGACAGAAGGAAAGUUGAGGAUUUCAUGAGCCUUGGGAAGAAAACAGGCUCAUGCAUCUUCAUAAACCUGUUAGAAAAAGUAAGUUCCAUUAUGACUUGUGCUGUCUGGCCAGAUUGUUUGGCAAGGAACUGGCUAACAUUUUGGUGAGCAAACAUCUUGAUUUACUUAAAGGAUAAAUUCUUGUGACAGCCUGGUCUAGAGUUAGCCUUUGUUAAGGACUAAAACAUAAGAACUGAUUCAAGAUACAAGAUACAAUUAUUGUAGCAGUGACCACCUGGGGUCACUGAACUGCAGGUUCAGCAUUCUCGGGGUAGAAGGUGCUGGACUAAAAGUGAGUCUUGUGUUCCAAAAUAUUGCAGGGGAGAACAUAAGAAAAAUUAAAUCCUUAGACUUACCAUAGAUACCUGGGAUGGUUACUGGCAUCCAGGUGAGGCAGAACUCUGUCAUGAAAGAGCAAACAACCCUAAAACUGUUGUUAAAAAUAGUUAUAAAGGAAGGGACUUCUGGAGUUCAGGAAUAUUACACCAAAGGACAGUCCACCUCUUGAGGAGCAGACUGGAAGAACCAUGUUGUAGGGCAGGUAACCAUGAUCUGAAAAUGAAGCAGUUUAGGAGUGGCUUUGCAGAGCUGGGGGCUUUGGGAAGCCAGUGCUGUCUGAGGGACGUCAGAGACAGGGCUGGGGAAAAAAUCUGCCUGUGCAGGACUGAAGACAGAAUUUAUUUCCUGCCUUACUUCAUGCCACUGGAGCCACUCCUCCAUGUCAUUCUGGAGCACAGAGCCUGUUUGAGAGCCUGUCCAUCACCUCAGCCUUUUGGGUGAGAUAAGGAGCCUUCCUCUGAAACUCAAGCAAGGCAGAGAUGCUGGAGCAAAGCAGGAAAUUCAAGUGGAGGAGCAACAGGUGUAUCAAGGGGUUUUGAAAAAGCUUGGGACUGAAACAUUUAAAGGUACUAACAAAAACAGGGCUGUCAAAAAACAGCUUAGUAUUCUCCAUGACUAGACCACAUCCUGAUGUCAGGUUAUUCUUCUUUUUUAAUUAAAGUAUUAAUCGAGGCACUGGGAAUUCCAGAUCAGCAACCCUGAACUCCAGUUGGAGAAGCAGAAGCUGAAGUGCUGUAGCUCUUCAAUGUGUGAGAGGUAAAAAGCAACACACUUUCUGCAGAGAAAGGGGGUUGGACCAGGUGAUCCCUUCCAACCCAAUCCAUUCUUUGAUUCUAUGAUCAGUCUGGUUUGCUGGGGCACCUACAAGAAUAUCUGAACAGCAGGAUAAAAAAUAGGCUUGUAAUGAGAAGAGAAAUACCACAGAGUCCUGCCUUGGCUGCAGUUGAUAUUUGUUGCUUAGGAAGCAAAAGGUGGACUAAAGUCAAUUAGAGAAGGUGAUUAAAGGCUUCCAAGUCUGCAUCUUCAGCUUCUGAGCAAAUGAGUUCCAUUCAAUGGUUUCAUUAAACCCAGAGUUGCUGGCUGGAGAAGGGUUGAUUUUUAUGAAACUUUAGUGGUGGACUGCACUAGGUUCUGGUUGCAAAGUCUGGUUUGAGGGGAGAAACAAGCCCAGAAUACUGGGUGAUAUGGCAUCUAGAUUUCUCCUGUAAAGCAACACCCCCAGUUCAAAUUCCUGCCUUGAGCUGGACUUGCAGGUCUGCCAGAUCCCAGCAGCUGAUAUUGUGGGUAUGUUCUGUUUUCUUAUCUUUUUACUAGGAAAAAUCUCAAAGGUCUUGAUUUUUAUAAUGGGCAGAAAGAGAAGAAGGUCUGGGCAGCAUCUUCCAGCUCUUGCCUAGGUCUGUCCUUGUGGGAGGGUUGUUGGUGUAUGCACAUGCAGAUUUCUCUUCCCAAGAGAUCCAGGAGAACCCACAGGUCACUGGUGUCAGUUUUAGACUUCUUAAAAGUCUAGGGGUCAUGGCAAACACCCUGGCUUCCCCCACCUUCCCUGUCUCCAGUAGAUCGUGGUAGCAGAGAGUGAAUGCUUUGAUAAGUCAUUGGAGUUUGCAAUAGAAGCAGGACAAGUGCAGGCACCCUGAGGUUUUCAGUCAGAGUUUAUGUUUAAAGACAAGGAGCAGAGUGGUUGGGUUAGAAUGGAGAUGUCACCCCAGCCUGGAUGUGGCUGGAAAAUUGAGAAGAGCAUAAGGUUUGGUGCUGUGAGCAUGGGGAUGACCCUGGGACAUAGGAGACAACAGGGAAAAAAGAAAAAAAAAAACAAUUUAAUGCUCUGUCAGUAUGUCAGGCUGUAAGUGAAUUGUUCAUUCAGGAAGAACAACUGAGAUUCUGGUAGCAAAUGAAGGUUUGUAGCCUGCCCCAGGAAUCCUGCACAUUCCAGGUCUAGGUGCAGGUCUGUGAGGCUGCUGAGCUGGAGCUCCUCUGUUCCACAGCUCGUGAGACCCCACAGUGUCCCCGUGCUGCUCUCUCUGGUGAUCUGGUGGUUGUCACUGGCACAACCUUUGUCCCUACCCCUAGAAAUCCAUUAUAUUGCUCACUUCUAGUUAAAUUAUACCAGCUGACUUUGAAGUACUCAAUAUAAAACCGUCGUGGUAUGCUUGCAUGAUAGUUAUUUGAUGUAAGACAACAAUUUCUUGUGCUCUCUCUUUAGGAAUUUGGGCUUUGAGUUUCACUGGAGUGUGUAUGUACCCAACUGCACAGGAUCAGGCCCAUCUCUGUUUUAAAAUGUAUUUCACAUCUGCAAUUAGAAAUGUUCUAGGAAACAAAUUAGGAGAUGGAGUUGUCUGUCACAGGCUCAGAUGAUCAUAGCGACUUGUGCUAAAGGCUCCGUCCUCGUAGAGACCUGCACGGCUGCUUUGUGUAACUGCUGUCAGAGCUCUGGCGUGCUGGUAAUAGUGUUUUUUAAUAAAUGUACUGACUAUACUCACCUUUAAAUCCUCUUAGGUACCAAUAAUUAUCGCUGGUAUUCUGUACAUUAGCUCUGUACUAGCAUUCACAUUGGACUAGGCUUAAUAGCGUGAGUGUCAAAGAUGACUUGAAAAAGGAAAAUUAAUUUAUACCCUUUAAGUGUGGUUCUACCCCGUGUAGUGGGUGCUUUGUGGAAGAACCAGAAGUGCUGCAGCUGUCUUCCCCCUUUUACUUGCUGUGAUUUUCUGCAGCAGAACAUACAGAUUGAAGUCUGUUUUUCCAUCCUUUGGAGACACUGAGAUAUUAUCAUGGUGAGGUCCAUGGAAAUACCCAGACCAGCUGGGCCCUCACGCAGAGAUAAGGCAUCUUUUCCUUUUUUUUUUUUUUUUUUCUUCUGCUGUCCAUCCUUCAAGUUUUUGUUUGUUUUAAAGUAAAAUAGUCAUUCCCUCAUGUGUCAAUGCAACAUCCUCUAGGAUAUUUGUGAUCUUCCAGGAAAGGUAGACAGGACUGGAAUAACUAAUGCCAAAAAAUCGCCCGUGGCAAGGGAGGAAAAUCCUUGUUUUCAAGGCAAACCCCAUCCAGACUUUUUUCAGCACACCACAAGGGUAUAAAUCCCGACUUCUUCUUUUCCAGGUGAUCUUUUAGGCCGAGUAGCAGAGGGCAGGGUUUUGCCCUCCAUGGGGUUGCGGUGCCGUGCGGCACCCGCGCCGUCCCGCAGGUCUGAGCCCCCGGCACCCCGGCGUUUAGGGAGCUCCAUGGGGUUGGCUUUCACCAUGUCCUCAAUUUGGAUCCCCAGGGCAGAAAAAUUAGGACUUUCUCAGUUAAAGAAAAAAAAAAAAAACCCAAAAGUGAAGGAAAAUCUCUGGAGAGUUGUGUUUCCCCACAGCAGUGACGGCCCCUCAGCACCCACUUCUGUUCAGCCAGGACGCCCGGGUCAGUCCUGCUGGGUUUUUAGCCAUCUUGACCUCAUGUUUGCAAAUAUUAUUGGUAAUAUAAUGCUCUAUGUACAAAUGUCUGUGUGGCUCAUGUGUAUGUUUCUGUGGUUCAAGUCAGCCACAGACUUCUGGAAUUUCAUUGUACUUUGGUUAAAUGUUGGACUUUUAACUCUUCUACUGUAUGGCUUCUUGAUUUCUCUUGUCCAAUGUGGACCAACUCUAUUUUUGGAAAUAAAUAAGCAUGUAAAUAAAAUGAAUGGGUUUAUGCCACUUACAAGAAAAUGCUUUAUUUAAAAUAUACACUCAGUCUUGUAUAUUUUAUGGUAUCUCAGGCCCCAGCAGCCUUGUGCUGAGAUACCAUAUUAUGUACAAAUUCACUUCCAAGUGCUUUUGGAAGCAGGCUUCCCAUCUCCUGAGCCAAACCCCCGUAGGACCAGCCUUGAGGAGGAGGGAGGGGGGAAUCCAGAAACACAUGGUUUAAGGGGAGUAAAGGAAACAAACACAACUUUCCUCUCAACACAAGGCUUCUGGUUUGAGGUGUCCAGGUGCCAGAGACACUGCAGGGAUGCCAUGGGUCGGUUCUCAGCUCCUGCCUGGGAGCACGUGGAGAUCAGGAGCACGAUGACAUCUCUUUUUUUAUUAUUUUUUUUAAUUUUUUUUUUUAAUUCUCCAUAUAAACCAAUAUUUACCAGUAAUCCUGUGUUUCUGUUUUUGUUUUUUGGCAGACUUUUACCAGUAAAUAUCGGUUUAUUCCUGAAACCAGAAGCCCUAAACAUACCUUUGUUUAUAAGGUCAGUUGGCAUUUUGUCUCUCUCAUUCCCCACUCCCCCCCAGUACAACCCAGCAGGUGGUUGAAAGGUACCGAGUUCUCUUUCUAGUUUUCCUGCUCUGCAUCUCUGGGAACUGGAGCCUGCAGGACCUAGAGCCUUCUGUUGGUAAUGUAGAUCCGAGUUUACAAAUUAUUCUUUUACCAUUUUAAAUCCUGCUUUUAAGGACAGAGGUGUUCCCGCCUGCCCACCACGGGAACUGGUAGCAAAACCCCUAAAAUUGCUCCUCCUCUCCGAAGCCUGCGGGUAGGUCUCUCACUAGCAUCUUCAGCCUUGGGGCUGAGAAAAUAAUUUAUCCCAAAAUAUACACUAAAAUCUGCCAUUUCUGGUUUACUGUGAGCAGGACUGGGGGAGGGAAGGGCGGGAAAGGAGUUUGAAACUUACUUUUCUCCCCCUUUUUUCCUAGAAAGCAAAUGUGACAUUUGGGAGGAGGGAGAGAAUGUGAACGUGGCCCUUCCUAAACUCAUUGUAAACUCCUCCUCCGAGGCUGGGAAAAAGGGCAAGUGAAAGAUCUGAUCCUUAAAAGGACAUCACUGGGUGUCUGAGACCCCAAAAGCAGCUGGCAAAUUUUAAGGACUCAAAUUGCUUUUGGUUUAUCCCAAGACAAAUUGACUUGGGAAUGUUGAAGCCUCCUUUCUCCCCACAAGAAUUUGCCACCCAAACACUGCACUGUUUUGUUAAUACUCCAGAAACAGAGAAUCUGAUGAGGGAUAGAAAAUGAGUUGACUGCGCUGUCCUGGCCAAUUUUUAUUCUCCCAAGCGAACAAAAUGCGGGAAAAAAAAAUUUAAAAAAAAAAUACCAAAGCCCUUCCCCAAAAAAAGACCUCCUAAAAAAGCAAGUCAAAGAGGAUCUCAAAUGCCCAGUCUGGUUUUGUUGUACAUGGUGACAGGGGUGUUUUUGGCAUAGCUGCAGCCCUACAAUGUCCCUUUAAGGAGCACCAUGGCUCGUUUCCUCCUGAGGGUUUUGCUGUUCCUGAGAGCAGAUCGAAGCUCCUGCAGCCUUAGUUGGAGUCCAGAAUGAGGGGAGCCCUUCCAGCUGUGCACUUUGAGCUGAACACUACCUUUCCUCCCCUUUUGCAGCCUGGGUGGUUCUGAUUGCUGGCAGUUCUGUAAUACAACCUUAAUCUGAGCAGUUGAGGCUGGUCCUACCUUAUCUUCAGACGUCUUGCGGAGGACUCCUGUUACCAGUUUGGUACUCAAAAGCUACACCCCACCAUCAGAAGUCACUUUUUUGGUUUUUUUUUUUUCCAAAGGCAGUGAUAGCUCACCCUCUCUAGCUCUAAUGGAAAACCUGAUAAUUGCAAUGCAACUUUCUAAUAAAUUGUUCAUAUAUUCAUAAUUCCAUUGCAAUCCCAAAUUGGAGAAGAGAUCUGUUAAAGUGCACUGGUGUACCAAGCCUCAGAACCACUGCUUUCUCCAGCUCAUAGGAUGCUUUUCCAGACUGUGGAUACGUGUAUGUGUACUGCUGUGUUGAUAAGUAAAUGCCAACGAUGGAGUUCGUUGCUUUUAUACAUCCCAAAGAGAAGUUCUCCACCGUUCACUGUCUGUUUUCUGACCGAAAAGGCGUGUGUUUGUGAACAGUGUUCACGCCAGCUCUGCCACCCCACCCUCACAUCAGCUCACACCAAGGCCAGGAUGGGAGGAGUUGCCUGCGUACCUUCCCCAAAACACCCCGGGCCGCAGUGGCAUCGUCAGGGAGCAGUUCUGACCUGUGUCCUUUGGGCUUUGUGUAAAGCAAAUGCAGAACAAGAAAAAUCGAGAUGUUAAAUCCAUUAGAAAACAAAUUCCUUAUUGUACAGUAGUAUGGAGAUCUCUAGUCAACCUGCCAUUAAUAAUAGAUUCUUAUUUUUUGAAUGAUCUAUUUAAAAGAACAGCAAGCAUUGUAUUUGCUAGUAAAUCUGAAGUGUUUACAUGGAAUUACUAAAUAAAUUAUUUGAUCUAA
This is a long non-coding RNA of Catharus ustulatus (Swainson's thrush), 6950 nucleotides long. RefSeq lists it as uncharacterized. The record is from RefSeq and is a predicted model, not a curated record. NCBI's taxonomy places the organism in Eukaryota, Metazoa, Chordata, Aves, Passeriformes, Turdidae. The transcript has 2 exons.